GACAGAGGGUGCAAACGUUGUUCGGAAUUACUGGGCGUAAAGGGCGCGUAGGCGGCCUUCUAAGUCAGACGUGAAAUCCCCCGGCUUAACCUGGGAACUGCGUCUGAUACUGGGAGGCUAGAGUGCGGGAGAGGGAUGCGGAAUUCCAGGUGUAGCGGUGAAAUGCGUAGAUAUCUGGAGGAACACCGGUGGCGAAGGCGGCAUCCUGGACCGACACUGACGCUGAGGCGCGAAAGCUAGGGUAGCAAACGGG
Molecule: ribosomal RNA, 253 nt
Filed under: uncultured bacterium
Lineage: Bacteria
Description: partial 16S ribosomal RNA
Rfam family: Bacterial small subunit ribosomal RNA
Source: RNAcentral